This 354-nucleotide ribosomal RNA is filed under the name uncultured Methanosarcinales archaeon. Its description in RNAcentral is "bacterial SSU rRNA". It matches the Rfam family "Archaeal small subunit ribosomal RNA", at positions 753 to 1106 of the family's 1478-position model. The record is from RNAcentral. Lineage: Archaea; Methanobacteriati; Methanobacteriota; Methanomicrobia; Methanosarcinales.
GUAAACGAUGCUCGCUAGGUGUCAGGCAUGGCGCGACCGUGUCUGGUGCCGCAGGGAAGCCGUGAAGCGAGCCACCUGGGAAGUACGGCCGCAAGGCUGAAACUUAAAGGAAUUGGCGGGGGAGCACAACAACGGGUGGAGCCUGCGGUUUAAUUGGACUCAACGCCGGACAACUCACCGGGGGCGACAGCAAUAUGUAGGCCAAGCUGAAGACUUUGCCUGAAUCGCUGAGAGGAGGUGCAUGGCCGUCGCCAGUUCGUACUGUGAAGCAUCCUGUUAAGUCAGGCAACGAGCGAGACCCGUGCCCACUGUUACCAGCAUGUCCUCCGGGACGAUGGGUACACUGCGGGGACC